GGGAUGUAUUAUCUGCUGGUAACAACUCCAAUUCUCUAAUUAGACAGAUAGUCGAGGGAUCAAACCUUGAAAGGUACACAAACAUGCCAGCAUCUGUACAGUGGGGGAUAGAUCACGAGGACACAGCCCGAGUGAAGUACUCUAUGAUGAAACAAGUACUGGGGGACAGCUUUAGAAUCGACCCUACUGGAUUGAUGCUCUGCAGUACCCAUACUUUUCUAGGUGCAUCCAGUGACGGGAGGGUAACAGAAGAGAACAGCACAGGCGUGCUUGAAAUAAAAUGCCCAUACUCCAUAAAGGGUACUUUGGUAAAUGCCAUGGAAAUACCAGAUAUCCUUGCAAUGGAAGACAAGAGCUUUUGUCUUGAAAAUACUAGUGAAGGACCAAAGUUAAAGUCAUCCCACAAGUAUUAUGCCCAAGUACAGGGAGAAAUGGCCUUGAUGAGUGCCCCAUGGUGCGAUUUUGUUGUUUGGACUGCGGCAAAAUCCAACAAUAUAUGUGUUGAUAGGGUUCUAUUUGAUCCAGAAUUUGUGGCUUCAAUGAUGCCAAAACUUGUUCAAUUUUAUAUGAAAUUCAUAUUCCCAGUGUAUUAUGAUCAAAAUUAAUUUCCAUUUCACAGAGUAUCCAGUAUUCAUAAAACAAGUAUUAUGAAAUUGAAUGCAAUAGGUAUCAUGUGAGUGUACAUGAAUCAUGGUCACAGAUAAUGGUAUAUCAUAUUGCUUAUAAAUGAAAAAGACUUGUCUGAAACAUUUUUGUUAUGCAAAAUACUCUUUUUGGCUUUUCUGAAAGCUAUAAAAUGGAAAAACGAUAUAUUGUCAGACAACCAGACUUUGUUUGACCAUUAAGGUGGCUCACUACACCCAGAAAUAGUUUCUCAAAUUAGCACGAAUUGAUUUAAUUAUAAAAGAUAUGAAGAUAUGAUGAAUUACAAUAAGUAUAUAUGCCAAAAAGGCAAAUUUGGAUAAAAACAUGAUUUUAAAAAAAAAUAUUUCAACACAUUUAAACAAGAAACUCUGGGGAAUUUGAACUUGAGAUAUGCUGUUCACCAGCCCAAUGCUUUAACCACUGAGCUACAAUGAUAGACAAACGAAUCGAUCGAUACAAAUAAUGUCACAAAACAUUUAAAUCGCCGUCUUGUGACAUGGUGUCAUACAGAGUAUAAGCUUUAGUGUAGUGAGCAACCUUAAGGUAUUCUGUUUAUAAUGCCCAAUGUAAUCACAUUAAAUUCAUGGAUAAAAUUGUUAAAGCCAGUAUACAACCGAGUAAAGCUUAGGGUCACUAUUUGAAGGUAAAUACUUGUCAUGUACAGUAAAUCAUGGUUAUAGCAAACUUCCAGGGUCAGCGAAAAACAAUUUAUUGUAAUCAAACUUAAGUGUACCUUAUCCGUUUACCUGAUCAGGUUUUACUGUAUUACAUGUAUACCACAAGGGGAAUUUUACUUAUCUUCCACAAGGGGUACAUCAAGAUUCGAGAGCCAACAGCAUACUUGAAAUAACUUACUGACAAGUGGUAUCAUUGACAAUGGCAAAACACCAUCAAAAAUAUGAAAGUUUUUUACUCGGCCUAUACUGCGCUCUACAUGUAUACGGAGCUGUGCAAUUUCCUGAGUAUUAUAUACAUCUUCCACAGUAAAUUGAUGGUCAUUACGUAAAAAAGGGGGGAUAUUAAGAUAGCAUCCUCUCUGUUUAAGCAAAUCUGUUAUCGUGAAACCCUUAUCUGCCAUAACGCUAUCACCUGGUUCUAAAAGGUCCAAUAGGCCUGACUCUUCUGUGAUUUGUCAGUCAGAGACUUUUCCACCCCACCCCUCAGAAACAAAUGAUAUAAUACCAGAUGGAGUGAUGCCAACCAAAAAUUUAGCUGUAUUAUGAUUCUUGUAAUUUGAAAAUGUUAAUGACUGAUUUGUUAAACUGGAUGAUUUUUGAAUAAAUAUUUCAGUGCAGUCUAUAAUGAUA
Molecule: long non-coding RNA, 1952 nt
Organism: Ostrea edulis (European flat oyster)
Lineage: Eukaryota; Metazoa; Mollusca; Bivalvia; Ostreida; Ostreidae
Exons: 2
Source: RefSeq, a predicted model, not a curated record